This 201-nucleotide unclassified non-coding RNA is filed under the name Hevea brasiliensis (rubber tree). Lineage: Eukaryota; Viridiplantae; Streptophyta; Magnoliopsida; Malpighiales; Euphorbiaceae. The record is from RNAcentral.
GCUACAUCAGCACCAUCGGGGUGGACUUCAAGAUCCGAACCAUCGAGCUGGAUGGCAAAACUAUCAAACUUCAGAUCUGGGACACAGCGGGCCAGGAACGGUUCCGGACCAUCACUUCCAGCUACUACCGGGGGGCUCACGGCAUCAUCGUGGUAUACGACGUCACAGACCAGGAAUCCUACGCCAAUGUGAAGCAGUGGC